Molecule: ribosomal RNA, 388 nt
Filed under: uncultured bacterium
Lineage: Bacteria
Description: bacterial SSU rRNA
Rfam family: Bacterial small subunit ribosomal RNA
Source: RNAcentral
AUUGAACGCUGGCGGCAUGCCUUACACAUGCAAGUCGAACGGCAGCACGGGGGGUAACCCCUGGUGGCGAGUGGCGAACGGGUGAGUAAUACAUCGGAACGUAUCCUGUAGCGGGGGAUAACCUCUCGAAAGAGAGGCUAAUACCGCAUACGACCUACGGGCGAAAGAGGGGGAUCGCAAGACCUCUCACUAUUGGAGCGGCCGAUGUCGGAUUAGCUAGUUGGUGGGGUAAAAGCCUACCAAGGCUACGAUCCGUAGCUGGUCUGAGAGGACGACCAGCCACACUGGAACUGAGACACGGUCCAGACUCCUACGGGAGGCAGCAGUGGGGAAUUUUGGACAAUGGGCGCAAGCCUGAUCCAGCCAUGCCGCGUGGGUGAAGAAGGCC